This 906-nucleotide long non-coding RNA is filed under the name Cricetulus griseus (Chinese hamster). Its description in RNAcentral is "lncRNA (ENSCGRG00015042932.1)". Lineage: Eukaryota; Metazoa; Chordata; Mammalia; Rodentia; Cricetidae. The record is from RNAcentral.
CUGCAUCUCCCACUCUAGCCAUAGCAGGGGAUUUUGAAUGAAUCUUGAAAGAGCAGCUUUUUGCUGGACUUUGGAAAUGCAGUGACAAGAACCUCAGAAAUGAGGUGUGUGGUGGAAGCAGACAGCCAAUGCAGUGUGAUAAGUGAACUUCAUGUACCUGCCACUGGGAUGGACUGUAUCCCCUCUGCAACUGGCCCACACAACAGGAAAUGGACCAAAGACACACCUACCCAGACGGAGAGCAGCUUGGACUGGAAAUGAACUGCUCCUAAUUCCCCACAAGCACAGAGCACUCAGAGGACCAGACUCUCACUCUUCUCACAGGUCCACUACCUUCUGUAACAUAAGGGACAAUUGCUAGCAUGUUUGCUUCUCAUGCUGGCUUACACGCCUUUUAGUGAAAAUCAUAUGUCUACCCUGCAACUUUAUUAAAAUAGAAUCUCUAAGAUCUGGUAAAGAAACGCAUUGGGCUGGAGAGGUGGCUCAGUAGUUAAAAGCACUUGGCUCCUCUUUCUCUGGGUUUGUUUCCCACCAUCCACUCGGUGGCUCACAAUCAUCCGUAACUCAGUUCAGAGUAUUCAAUGACCUUGUCUGACCUCUUCAGGCACCAGAGUUCAAAGUCAACCCCAGCUACAUACUAAGUUCAAGGCCAACCUAGACUACCUGGAUGCUUCCUCAAAAAGAAAAGAAAGAAAAUCAAACCCAGAAAGUCAUGCAUUGUGAUUCAUUUUGAUGAAGUGUAGAGAGGCCAAUUCACAGAGAUAGAAAGUAAACUAGUGGUUGUCAGCGGUGGAAGAAGGGAAGUAUGGAGAGUUAAUUGCUAAUGGGUUUGGAGUUUCCUUUGGGAGCUGAUGAAAACAUCCUGUGAGUAGUAGAGAUAUUUGAACAGUUUGUAUUUAUAUGAAA